UGGCUCAGGAUGAACGCUGGCGGCGUGCUUAACACAUGCAAGUCGAACGGAGUUAUCGAUUGAAACCUAGUGAUUUGAUAACGUUAGUGGCGGACGGGUGAGUAACGCGUGGGUAACCUGCCUUAGUACAGGGGGAUAACAGUCGGAAACGACUGCUAAUACCGCAUAAGCGCACGGAAUCGCAUGAUUCAGUGUGAAAAGAUUUAUCGGUAUAAGAUGGACCCCGCGUCUGAUUAGCUAGUUGGUGAGGUAACGGCCCACCAAGGCGACGAUCAGUAGCCGGCCUGAGAGGGUGAACGGCCACAUUGGGACUGAGACACGGCCCAAACUCCUACGGGAGGCAGCAGUGGGGAAUAUUGCACAAUGGGGGAAACCCUGAUGCAGCGACGCCGCGUGAGUGAAGAAGUAUUUCGGUAUGUAAAGCUCUAUCAGCAGGGAAGAAAAUGACGGUACCUGACUAAGAAGCCCCGGCUAACUACGUGCCAGCCGCCGC
Molecule: ribosomal RNA, 493 nt
Filed under: uncultured bacterium
Lineage: Bacteria
Description: bacterial SSU rRNA
Rfam family: Bacterial small subunit ribosomal RNA
Source: RNAcentral